GGGGUUGUGGCUCAGAGGUAGAGCACUUGCCUACCAUGCAUGAGGUACUCACUGGGUUCGAUCUUCAGCACCA
RNAcentral lists this transfer RNA (73 nucleotides) under Ictidomys tridecemlineatus (thirteen-lined ground squirrel). RNAcentral's name for it is "Spermophilus tridecemlineatus (thirteen-lined ground squirrel) tRNA". It matches the Rfam family "tRNA". From Rfam's summary of the family: Transfer RNA (tRNA) molecules are approximately 80 nucleotides in length. Their secondary structure includes four short double-helical elements and three loops (D, anti-codon, and T loops). Lineage: Eukaryota; Metazoa; Chordata; Mammalia; Rodentia; Sciuridae. The record is from Rfam by way of RNAcentral.